Molecule: ribosomal RNA, 388 nt
Filed under: uncultured bacterium
Lineage: Bacteria
Description: bacterial SSU rRNA
Rfam family: Bacterial small subunit ribosomal RNA
Source: RNAcentral
AUUGAACGCUGGCGGCAUGCUUUACACAUGCAAGUCGAACGGCAACACGGGGGCAACCCUGGUGGCGAGUGGCGAACGGGUGAGUAAUACAUAGGAACGUAUCCUGAAAUGGGGGAUAGCUCGGCGAAAGCCGGAUUAAUACCGCAUACGAUCUACGGAUGAAAGCAGGGGAUUCGCAAGAACCUUGCGUUUCUGGAGCGGCCUAUGUCUGAUUAGCUAGUUGGCGGGGAAAAGCCCACCAAGGCGACGAUCAGUAGCUGGUCUGAGAGGAUGAUCAGCCACACUGGGACUGAGACACGGCCCAGACUCCUACGGGAGGCAGCAGUGGGGAAUUUUGGACAAUGGGGGCAACCCUGAUCCAGCCAUGCCGCGUGAGUGAAGAAGGCCU